GCAGACUCCCGAUGAGGGAGGACCUUGAGAUCAGGACCUGAGCCGGAGGCACACACAUAACCAACUGAGCCACCCAAGCACUCCGUAUUUCAAUAUGUUUUUAUACUUCCUAAAACCGUAUCUAUUCAUAGUUGUUGGUUUUGGUUUUUUUUUUUUUAAGAUUUAAUUUAUUUAUUUGACAGAGAUCACAAGUAGUCAGAGAGGCAGGCAGAGAGAGAGGGGGAAGCAGGCUCCCCGCUGAUCCUGGGCUUGAUCCCAGGAUCCUGAGAUCAUGACCUGAGCCGAAGGCAGAGGCUUUAACCCACUGAGCCACCCAGGUGCCCCAUUCAUAGUUUUUGAAAUACAUUUUCUAUCUAUUGUCUUAACAGUGUCUCAUGAAAUACCCGUGGGGUUUUUUAUUGUGGUACACGUCCAUUUUUAUCCACAGAUGUUAAAUUAGUAACUAUUACUUCCGGGCCAUAAGGACAAGGAUUCUGGGGCAUGUUGUUUUCAUCCUACUCUAAGAUGUUUGCCAGUAGGAGGGGAAAUGCGACAGACGGAUGAAACCAGGUGCUACUUAAAGAAAAAUCACAAAACAUCAUGAUGGUGCAGAUGGCGAGGGCAAGCCCGUCUGAUGGCCCGUCUGAUGGCCCAUCUUGGAAGGCUCCUCCCGCUUGGUCUUCGCCUGUCAUAGGGGCCGGCUUUACGUUCUCUCCGAGUCCUUUGAUUUAUUCUCUUUCCCCUUUCCCGCUCAGAUGUUCAGUUCUAACCCUGAAUUCUGAUGGAAAUAGCUACUCUGUCACCAGUCGUUGUUCCUAUAACGGGCUGAGCAUGAAGUUAAUCUUCUCUCUCUUCAAACCGGGUUUCUGUGGGUAGGCUGUUCGAGAACACUGGUUCUCAACCACAGGGGAUCCAGGCCCCCCCACCCCUUCCCGGGGACACUUGGCGGUGUUGGGAGACAUUUUUGCUUGACGGUGCUGCUGGUGGCUAUGGGGUUGGGGCCGGGGAUGAUACCCAGGACAGCCCCCUUGGGACAGAGAAGGAUCCAGCCCAAAAUGUCAAUGUGCUGACGAUAAGAGGCUCGGAUCUCCAGAAAUUGGAAAAGACCAAAAGGUGAGACAAUGAAUGGAUGGAGGGCACCACUGUCUUCUGAUGUCCACACGGUAUGUCCCACUUCGGAAGCAACACAGCGACUUUUGUCAUAGUUGAUGCUGAUUCCCUUCCACUGAUUAUGCUCCAUUAUCUCUGAAGCCCUUGGGGUGGGACUUAAGCCCGCGUGAAACCCAAGCACAGGACCACAAAAUGAAAAAUGGAGGCAAAUUCAAACAUGGGCUGUAACUACCAGAGGACUCCUCCUGCUCUAAGCCUCUUGGAAAAAAAGUCUUCAGAUCCUUGGUUUCAUUCAACUGACAAUAGGUUCAUCUGCAUACGGCAUUCAGCAGCAAAGUAAACUUUUUUUCCUGAGUCUUUUGUUUCCAAAUCAAAGGGAAACAAAGAAUAUCCCGGCUCCAUUCAGGCACUUUCAAUGACUCUCAAAUAAACGUGGGAGCAAUUUGGAGCCAUUUAACAUGUAGAGUGAUGAGAAAGCGUACUGAUUAACCUUGUAAACAUUCUACACAAGUGCAAGGCAACCUUCAUAAAGAAUAUCCAAGUGUCCUUUGAAUAUAAUAGCCCCUUGGCACUUGGAAACGUUCAUAGGUCUCUGAAAUAGAAUAGAGCAGAACAGACUGAAAGAAGGCAAUCUUCAAGUCUUCCAGAAACGGCGCCAUUAACACAUUAUUUUUCAGUUUCUUUACGCUCCGAAGCUUAAGGUUUCUCACCCCAAGAUCAGCUCCACUUACAAAAAAAGCCCGUUGGGCCCAUAUUUAACCAACCACCAGAAGGGAUUCAAAAGCAGGCUAAUUGAACACGGGGGUUUUUGAAAUUCUAUAAUGAUAACCCAGGAUUUUUCUCGAAAACACCCAACAGCGGCUGGUUGGCAGGAAGCAGGAAUUAGACGAGAGAAUUGAUGGAAACCUGCCCUCCACACUUGGAAAACAAAACAAAACUGCUAGUAAGCGGUGAGCUUUGAAAUCACUGCGUGUCCAUCAUUCCCGGUCACUGCCUUCAGCCUCACGGACACCUGCGCCAUCCACCUUUCGGGGAUCAGGAAACCCCCCCUGUGUCGGGUCACCCCGUGCCUCCCUUCUAGGUCCCCGUCGCCCUGGGUUCUGUCUGCGUGUUUUGCAGGCCCCUCCUCUGCUCCAAAGACCAACGAGGUCUGUCUCCAGGAAGGGUACUCGGCCAAAAGCGUUCACCACUUAACCGUAUUUAUCCCUUUCUUAGCCUUUUACCCGCUGGCUUCAGAUUUCUCUGUAACAGGCCAGCGAUGGCCAACCUCCCCCGAAUAUCAAGUUCUGAAAGGGGCUGGAGAGCCACACAGGGGAAGAGUUCGUGGGGAGCCCAAUGUGGUGUUUUCUGUCUAAAUCCUCGGGCCUCCCUCCAGCCUACCAAGGCAAGUGACAGGAAAUUAACAGCCAUAAUCAAAGACUCGAGCCUUUUUCGGUAAGGGGGGACGGAGGAGGGGCUAUAGGCAUUGUGCCCAGGAGAACCUAGAGAGAGAGAAAACCUCUCUCUGCUCAAAUUUCUGAAGUUUGUUGCCAGUGAGUCAGUACAUACCUGAUCAGGGGGGGAAAAAAAAGGUUGUCUAACCGGUUUGGCUGUUUCAGCCGACUACUACUGGGAGAAGUAAACAGAUCCUUAGCCUUUCAAUUAUGUCUGAUUUGGACAUUAUUUUCCAGUCAAUAUUUGUCAUUUGAGGGCUGUUCCUCAGCGGGCCCUGAAUCGGAGAGAUGGACACACACAGUCUUGGAUGAGCAGACUCCCCGCAACCAGCCAGCAGAAGCUACCCCUCCUCCGGGCAGUCCUCCAGGUGUUCGCCAGAAGGGGCUGGGGGAGGAUUUGGUAACACUGAGUCAGGACUUUGCAGGUCUCUUGUCAGACUGCAGCUGAAUUGAGAAAUGUUCUUCCUUUGCCCUCUGGGCUCCUCCAGUCGGCCGGGAUUUCUGCCGAUCGCCGCACAUUUCAGUGAACUGGACAGGGGUUCUCUCUCUCUCUUCAUUCAGGAAGUGGCCCGCUGAGCCCGGCCCGAGCCCCGAGAUUCUUUCUGCUCUGAUGAUAUAAACAAAUUGCAGAGGAAGUCAAGUCAAACUUUCCCUUGCUUCUUUUGUUCUCCGACUAGCAACUCCGAAAGCAGAGCCAACUUUUUCUUUUUGGAUGCCUUUGAAAGAUUGCUCUUAACUGACAAGGCAGAAACCCUCAUGGGUUUUUUGUUUUGUUUUGUUUUGUUUUUUGUUUUAAACAAAGAUCCUCCUAAACUUCUUUUGUUAUAAAAAAAAAAAAAUCAGAAAUUUCCUGGAAAUUUCUUUUAAGGCUGUUUUUUUUUUUUUCCUUUUUUUGAGCCUUUCCAACCCAAUUGCUCCCUUCACAGCACAUAACUCCCUAAUUGUUGUUCUUCCCUUCAAAUUUCAACCAGGAGAGCAAUAAUGAGCUUUGCAUGGACAAUGGCUAAACCUGAAUGAGGCUCCUGGUGCCCACAUUCAGGGCCAGGGAAAGCUAACAGUCGUGAUUCAAUAAAGGUGCCAGCCCAAGGCAUGGGCCAGACAGAAAGGAGACAACUUAUCUGUUGAAUCUACAGAUACUGCUUGAAAAAUCACACAUAAUUAAUCCCUUCUCUGAGUGGAGGCCAUUUGAAGCUUUAUCACAAGCUUUAAGAUUUCAUCUCUAGGUUUCACUGACGGCUACGGGAGGGAACAUUUUCAAACCAGAGGUCCCUGAUUAUCCAGACGUGAUACCACGCCUGUACUGGUUAUCUAAUAAGAAGAAGCUUUGUGCUAAAUAACUGAAGGAAAACAGAGUAGAGAUGCACCAACAAAUCUUUGCAGAGUGGCCCUGAGGUGGCUUCCCAGAUGGGGCGUUCGGUUACGUUAAUUCUGGUGCAAGAAAUAAAGACAAUGGGACAGCUCCAUGGAUAUCAGUAUGCCUACCUCAGUUGUCCUCAGGUCGCCUUCUGUGUACAGAGGGUAAACAGACAGAAAACCGGAGGCAGCAACUGGCUUGGACACUUCCACAAUAUGCGGGUCAUUGUUGGAAGCUGUGUGUGCCUUCACACCCCGAAAGCCCCCAAACUGCAAAGCCUGCAAUCCUGGAACCAGCUCUGAGUAAGCACCUACUGUAUGCACCAAGCAUAUCUUGAGCACUGAACGGAACAGACAGCCGUGGUUUUAAAAUAUGUCCCUGAAUGCCGUGAGUUCAUUGCCACUCCCUUGUUUCAAAAGGCAGAGGCUGUUUCCUUUCGCUUUGAGUGUAGGCUGAACCUGGUGACUUGUUUCUGGGGAGUGGAAUAUUGUGCAAGUGACAUUACGUGGUAUUUAAGGCCAGUCAUAAAAUACAUUGCUGUUUCCCUCUCAUUCCUUCUGGAAGCCAGCUGCUGUGUUCUGAGAGUGUUCCAGCGCAUUAUGGAAAAGCCCACACCGUGAGGAAUGAAGGCCUCCAGCCCAUAGCCACGCAUGUGCACCUUCUUAAAAGGAGAUAAUCCAACUGUAUUCAGUCGAGCCUUGAGAUGUUGGCAGUUUCGGCCAACAUCUUCACUGCUUGUAAGAGGCCCCGUGCCAGAACCAUCCCUUCAAACUGUUACCAGUGAUUCUUGACCUCAGACACUAGAUGAGAUAAGAAAGUUGUGAAGUUGUGAAGUUGCUACAUUUUGGGGCAAUUUGUUACACAGCAGACAAUCAAUAAUAUACCGACAAAAGUCCUGGCUUUAGGUCUCUUAUGUUCUGAGGUUCAUUUAAUAGCCAUUGAAUAAAUGUUUUUUGAGACAAUGGUGAAUGAUGGUAAGCUAAAGAAACAUAUCAAAUUAUCAUUAACUGUUCAUUCACUUAUCAAAUAUUUACUGAGCAGCCCCAUGUGUUUAUCCAUGUUCCAGGCAUCAAGCUAGAACAAUAAACAAGAAAAAUGGAACAACCCCCCCCCUCGUGGAGCUUCCAGUCUGGUAGAAAAAAGCAAGUUUUUGCCCUGUGUCUGAUACUUACUCACCGCAGUACUCUGAAAUCAAGUUUCCCUCUCCCAGAUAAGUGUAUUAUCUCAUUAAAUUCUCACACCGGUCCCUGCCUCUGCCCCAUAACCAUGCUACAGCCUUCCCCAGGCUCCCUUGCAACACAGCAAUAUGACACAAUUCAAGCCAGUACAGCAAAGGCAGGAGAUCGGGGUCUCAGGAAGUUUUGUGUCUUAGGAAGGAAAAGAUGUCCUUAGUUCUACUGUCUUCAUUUCCCGACUGGAAAGUGCUGUGGGUUAUACAUCCUGCAAGCAUCAAGUAGGGUUGAGAUGGGGACCCCCUCGGGUGGCUCAGCUGGUUAAGCGUCUGCCUUUGGCCAUGAUCUCUGGGUCCUGGGAUUGAGCCCUGCAUCAGGCUCCCUGCUCAGUGGGGGGUCUGCUUCUCCCUCCUCCUCUGUCCCUCCCCCCACUUUAUGCAUUCUCUCUGGAGCUCUCUCUCUCUCUGUCUGUCUCAAAUAAGUAAAAUCUUAAAAAGAAGAAGGAGAUAAAUGGAGAGAGCUGCGUAGCUCUGACAUUCUUAAACCAUUGAAGCAUUAUAGUAACUGCCUGCCUGCCUCUGGAUUUCUUUUUAAGUGAGAGAAAAAAAAAAAAAAUAGCCUGUUCAUUGAAGUCUCUGUUGGGUUAUUGUUGGCUGUUGCUACUUACAAGUUAAGAGCAAUCCCAACUGACUCCAUGAAAUUUAAGUGGAAAACCAAGGUCACUAAGCCAAUGAAUGGAGCACACAGAAAUUAAAACCAUAUUUUAUGAAUGCCUGGAUCUAUAUCUUCAUCAUGAUGCUAUGUCAUCAUGGUUUCCACAAGUAAAAAGAAGAAGAAAAAAAGAAACUAUAGCAAAUGUAUUUAUCUAGCUUCCCUGAUUUUAUCCAGAAUAACAAGGCUAUUCGAUAUUGUCUUAAACCACAAGACAUUAAAUCUACAUUCCAGUUUUAACAAAUAUUUAAUUGCAGAUUUAGGGGAGGUCAUGGACAGUACUAAGGAAUUCCUUGAUAUUGACGAUAUUGUUGGAAAUGUGCUAAGCAUGGAUACAUGUCUGAGAGGCGAUAAUAAAACUAGAGCCCAUUCCUUGAGGGUCCCUUCUACAAAAUAUUGACAGGGCACUUACCAUGUGCCUCGUGAUUUAGUUCCAGGAUCUUACUUGGUGCCUCUGUCACCCAACAAGGUGAGCCCAGGCACCCCAUUUUACAGUUCAGAGAGGUUCAGUCGCUGGUGCAGAAUGACCCAGCUCAGGGUAGGCUCGGGAUUGAGCUCAGCUCUACCACAGGCUGGAGCCUGGACCAUUGACUGUCAGGGAGAGCGAGUAGUAAAAUGUGUCUGUAUGUGAGAAUAGAGUAAGUGAUCCGAGGUAUGGCAGUGGUUAGGAUGGUUUAGACAUGAAGGAAUAAAGUUUGGGAAAUGCUCUGGCGGAAGGAUACUGGAGUGAAAUAAACAGGGGUCCGUUUCUGCUCCAGCCCCGCCUGGAUGUGACGUUGGGCAAGUCUCAUAAUCUCUGGGAGUCUCCAUUUCUUACUCUGUAAAAUGAGUAUAAUACCAACGUCCCACUUGUUCUGAGGACCCAGUGGGGCGAAGGCGCUGGACUGCAGGCGGGCUGUGAGGCUGGGCCUGGGAGAAUAUUCCAGGUUCUCGCUUUGGUCACUGUUCUGCACUUCCUGUAUGCAAAGGAGACAGUUUCUUUGUUUAGAUCUGGGUAUUUCUCAACAAUUAUGGACACUCCUCCUACUAGAAGAAAAAAAAUAUAUGGUUAUCCAGACAGCAAAUCCUUUCUGCAAAAGCAAUGUCCUGAAUUUUGCUAAACGCAAUCUAGGUCAGUCUUGCCUGCCCAUAGCAAAGUACCAAUGGGAAGAGAGCACGGUGAGGGCAGCAGAGUGCUGCCCUGGCUCGCAGCUUCCUCUUGCCUCACCCGACCCCUGCCACUUCUUUCCUUCUUGUUCCCAUCAAUCUGGUUCUCCCUUCUCAAUCAUUUUUCUCCAGUUACACUAGCACUUAUUUUCAUUUUGAGGUAGAUCCCUGACCUCUCUGCUCUAGACUAGUUUCCCGGUUUAGAGAAGAAAGGCAAACAUAAUUGGGGACUUUCCAUUUUUCAAGAAAGACGUUAGAAACCAUGGCAGACAACGGCUCCCAGCGGUCCCCACCUCUUGGCAUCCAUAUCUCUGGGUAAUGCUCUCCCUUCAAGUGGGGGCUGGCCAGCUGACUUCUUAACACAUGGAAUACUGUGAUGGGAAGUCAAUUCCACGGUUAGGUGUCAAAGACCAUGAGCUCCAUCUUGCUAGCAGACUCUCUCUACUGCCUUCUCAGUUCUCCCAUUCUGACGAAGCCAGUCGCCAUGCUGGAAAGCCCAGGGGCAAGGAAAUGCCCGCGGUCUCUGACCAACAGCAAGAAAAGAGCUGAAAUCCUCCAUCCAGCAACUCUUGAGGAACCACAUCUUACCGAGAGCUGCAUGAGCUUGGACGCUCCCGCUGAGCCUUCAGAUGAGACCCUGAACUCCCACCUUGAAUGCAGGGUCCAGAUUCUGACCCACAGAAACUGAGUGUCGUGCAACGAGUUGCUGUAUUUCUUGUGCGUGGAUAAUUUGUUACACAGAAAUAGAUAACUAAUACAGACCCACAGCAACACCUAAUAAUGAGUAGAGAGGAAAAAAGGAAAGAGCUAGAAGCGAAUCUGGCAUCUCCUGAUUCUGGCCACGUUCUACCACCUCAGACAUAGGUACCCUGAGGAAAGGCACUUCUUUUUCCUGCCUUGAUUCCUUCUUCUGCCAAAUGAGCAGACUGAAUUAGGGGUUGUAACUUUUCUGCCAUUUUCUCUCCUUUAAAAUCUAAUGAUGUACAACCCUGGGCUCACAUUCCAACUUGGCCGCAAUCAGAAUGAGACAGACGCUGCCCACGUGAGAUGGGGCACGGGGUUUCCAUUCCUCUCAGUCCUCACCUGAACCACUUUACUCAUUUGCAUCACCUGCCAGGCCUGGCGGGAGAGCCGGUGGAUUCCUGAAGCAAGGGAUCCCCAGUACUGGAUUACUUAUUUGAUGAGCAGACUUGCAGACGCCAAGCUGGGAAAAGACAUACAAGACACUUACUGGGGAAACUCGUAGGAGAGGAGGAUGGGGAGGAAGCCGGAGGAGGCUGGGAGAAGAGGCCGACCACAUCCCUCUAGAAAAAGAAGAAAGAACAGGGAGGUGGGAAAGGUCUGAGACUAUAAGCCCUUCUCAGAAAGCUUCGCCAAAGCCCCGUGUCUCCCCAAAAGGAGCCUGCUUUCGUAUCCCUGUGGCAUGCGAUCCCAGGUAAGGAGCAACCUUAGGGAACGUGGAUUUCGCACAAAUGCCGAUCCAUCCCAGAGCGCAACAUCUGGGGACCUCGAUCCAUCAUAGUCCCCGCUGUGGGAGACCCAAAAGGUAUGAUUUUGGGAAUUUCGCAGCCCCUGAGCUUUCUGCUAGUCUAAAAAUCCCCCAAGUUUGGACCCGAGGGGCGAAUGUGGACCACAGAUGCAUUUUGAUUGGCUCAUGGUAUUUAAAAACAUUAACUACAACGCUGAAACCUCCAUCUAAAGAGGAAAAUUUUAAUAUACCGGACAUCAUCCAAUUUAAAACUUAUCCUCUGAGAAAGACACUGUUAACAGGAAAAAAAAAAAAAAAAAAAAAAAAAGCAAGUCACAUAGUAAAUGAAAAGUAUUGGCAAAUCAUAUACCUGACAAUUCACAUAUUUGCAUCCAGAAUGUAAGUUUUAAAACCUCCAAAAUUCAGUAAUAAGGAAACAAAUCACCCAGUAUUUUUAAAGUAAACUCUACACACAUCCUGGGGCUCGAACUCACAACCCCACGAUUUGCAUGCUCUACCAACUGAGCCAGCCAGGCCCCCCAAAACCACCCAAUAUUUUUAAAUGGGCGAAAGAUUUGAACAGACAUGAAUAAAAGAAUAGAUACUCGUGACAAGCAAAUGAGAAGAAUUUCCAGUAUCUUCAGUCUCCACAAGAGCCUCCCCCAACGAUUGUGAAAAUGGCUAAAACUUUUUAAAAACUGAUGAAUACCCAGUACAAGACUUCACAGAGCUGUUCUCAGGUUUAAAUAAAAUAAUGUGCGUGCAAUGCUGGGCACAGAAUGCAUCCUCAGUGCGUGUGUCAUCAGAAGUUUCAAAAGAAAAUUAAGAGCCAGUGUUUUGGAAGAGAAGGCUAGACAGAAAAGAGAAGGACUAAACUUUGAAUAAAAUGUCAAGGGAUAGAAGUUCCUCUCAAAGGAAUGAAUUUCUCUUGCUGAAAAUUUGAGCCACUGCUAGUUCAUCGGCCCCACUAUUCGACCAGGAGGACAGUGUGAAAAUGACUUCGCAUUUACCAAACACCUGCUACUCCUCAAGUAAUUGACACAGACGCUCACAUUGCUAGCCUCGGGUGAUAGAUGAGGCUCAGAGAGGUCAGCCGCUUUCCCAAGACCACACAGCGAAUGAAUGGCAGAUCCAGAAUUCUCAAGAACUUUGUUCUCUUCUCCCUAUGCAAGGCAGCCUUCCAAACCGGGAAGAAGGGGAAGCAAUCAGGGUUAUGUUCCUUCUUCAGGGGACAUUUCUACUUCAUUUAUCAGGCUUGCUGCACACACAAAGUCUACCUCCCACCACCUUCCCACCUUCUGAGGUCCCUCCAUUUUUAUUCUUACAUCGGGUACCUACCCCGCUCCCAUGUUCCAUGUUCCAUGUUCCUCCCACCUGGUUAAGCCAGUGUCAGCCAGGGUUAUCAGCAUGCUUCUGCCUUGUACCCGCUUAAGGAAGCCUUGUAGACUUUGCAGACUUUGUAUAAAGUUCUCGAACUACCCCCCAGGAGAUAAUACCACUGAUCUACUGCGUAUCUGUGUAUGUAUUGUGACAUACACGUGUGCUUUAUAACAGGAGUGAGAUUUUGCACCCGCUUCCCUCAAGAGCCAGGUUGGCCCCCUUGAGGGAAGUUCUCCUUGGGAACGUGGCUUUGGGGGUGAUGACCAAAGCAGCAACAGCAGCACGGUGUGGGGUUGGGCUUGGUUGGUGCCUGUUACUGCUGUAAGAGCUUCAUAGGCAUUGAUGGCAGCAGGUCUCCCUUGCAGGCCGGUCUCAGUUUACCCACAAUCAGAGAAGCAGCAUAGCUCCUGACUCCUUCUGGGAAGUGGAACACAUUUGCCCUUCUAUCAGCUCUUCCUCAAUCUCUUUCCAUCUUCGUCCACUUAAAGCCCGGAUGCAGAAGUGAUUCUCGGAAAGCCAAAACCACAGGAGGAUGUUGCCUUCUUUUCCAGGUGGCAGGAUUACUUACUCUUGAUCGUCCCAAAUUCCCUAUUUUCCCAGCUUCUUGAAACUUGUUCUGAAUUGUCUCUUCGAUUUCAACACAGUCUUUCUUAGUGACUAUGUCCAGAGAAGCAUUCGGGCUUUGAAAACCUCCUCAACCACCUCUUCUCUAGAAAUUACGACAACUACACUUUGUUCAGGUGCCAAGAUCGAGUCGUUUCGGGGAUGACCAAUGUCCUAUUUUUGCAACACCUGCCAUUUCACAUGGGAGACGAUGGAGACCCAGGGAUGCCCGUUCACUCAUCCCCGGUCCCGCGAGGAGAAGGGGUGGCCGGCCCAGACUGCACAUCCAGGGCAGACCAGCUCCAAGUACGUGUUGCUAACCACGAUGAGAAGCCGGGGCUUAAUUUCAGCGUUUCACUUGCCUCAGAGUGGGGAGGAAACAGAAGAUGGACAUUUUCAAAGAGGGAGGGGGCGUCGACGUGUUUUACACAAGGUCAUUCUCCCAGCCACCAGACGAUGGUGCUGCGCAGUACCAGACUUUUUUUAGUGGUGCGUCUGACAAUGGAUUAAGAUUUGGCACCCCCAAAAAAGAGAGGGCACCUGGCUGGGUCCAUCAGUAGAGCAUGUGACUCUUGAUCUCGAGACUGUGAGUUCAAGCACCAUGUUGGGCACAGAGCUUACCUUAAAAAAAAAAAAAAAAAAAAAAAAGCAGCAGCUUUCUAUCCAGUCAUUUACUGCUUUUAGUAAGAUGUUUCUCUCUUCCUGGGGCACCUGGGUGGCUCAGUGGGUUAAAGCCUCUGCCUUCAGCUCAGGUCAUGGUCUCAGGGUCCUGGAAUCAAGCCCCGCAUCGGGCUUUCUGCUCAGCAGGGAGUCUGCUUCCUCCUCUCUUUCUGCCUGUUUCUCUGCCUGUUCAUGAUCUCUGUCUGUCAAAUAAAUAAAUAAAAUCUUUUAAAAAGGGACGCCUGGGUGGCUCAGCUGGUUAAGCGGCUGCCUCCGGCUCAGGUCAUGAUCCCAGCAUCCUGGGAUCAAGUCCCACAUCGGGCUCCUUGCUCAGCCGGGAGCCUGCUUCUCCCUCUGCCUCUGCCUACCACUCUGUCUGCUUGUGCUCACUCUCGCUCCUCUCUCUCUCUGACAAAUACAUAAAUAAAAUCUUUAAAAAAAAAAAAAGAUGUUUCUCUCUUCCUUCUCAAUUCCUAUAUUAUAAAAUGAUUCUCUCGGGGCACCUGGGUGGCUCAGUGGGUUAAGCCUCUGCCUUCGGCUUAGGUCAUGAUCUCAGGGUCCUGGGAUUGAGCCCCGAGUCGGGCUCUCUGCUCAGCGGGGAGCCUGCUUCCCCCUGCCUCUCUGCCUACUUGUGAUCUCUCUGUCAAAUAAAUAAAAAGUCUUUUAAAAAAAUAAUAAAAUAAAAUGAUUCUCUCAAGGGAGAAACCUCCCAGUACAGACAAGGCUCCAAGAAGAAGAGCUCACCCUCUUACACUUUGCCAGAGGUUUCCAGACUCAUGAAUCGCUUUUUCUAGGUUGCCCCAAUGUGCUUUCCGCAUAAUGUUCUCCAGCCCAAUGUACAUGGUAUUAACCUUGAGUAGCUUCCUGUGUUCUUCUAGAAUUCAGUGCACAUUCUUUCAGUUUCUCUUUGUACUUGAGGAAGGAAAAAACGUACUUCUACAAUGAAGUCUGCGUUGUUUCUCUAUCACGUGCACAAUGUGUCUUCCUCUCCACGCUUUAUACGAAUGUCUCCUCUCUCCAUCCCAGCUUCUGGUAAGUGUCCCAUUCCCAGCUUCUGGGUAAGAAAGGGGAUCCCACAGAAAUGAAGUGACAGGUCUGGACACGCAACCGGGUACUGCAAAAGCAGAAUUCAGUUCGCCUUCUGCUGGCCCAUGGGCUCUUCAGUAACACCAUUUUCCCACAUGUGGCCCGUCUACCCGUCAAAACUUUCUCUUUCAGGCACCUUUGAAACCUCCAGCAAAAGCCCCAAACUUCCAUUUCUAACCCAAUAAAUGCCCCCCCCCAAUUAUUCUUUUUCUACUUGACAUUUUCAGUCAAUCACUUUUUUUGGUUCUUCGGACUGGCAGGCAGACUUCCGGUUUCUGGUGAAGCACCCAGAGGCUUAGAAGUCGCCCCUCGGUCCUGCCAACAAGGGGAAAGCUGAAGGAGCUGAGGCGUUAACAGCUCCUCUCAGAUCUGCAAGAGAAUUGAGGCUGCUGUGAACCACCGCCUCCAGACCUGGAGGGACAGAGGCAGCUAGAGAAAAUCACCACCUGCUAGAGCCUCACUUUUGGGGUGGGGGGAAUGGUGCCCCGUGUGGGGAAACCUCUGCUGAAACCGGUGAGUGGCCACAGGUGGGGUUUGGACAGAAAAUCAAAACCUCCAGGGGUUCCAGUCAGAAGGGACACAUCUGCAAGUUUCACCUCCAAGAGCUUCUCCCAGGGAAUAUCAGAGAAAAGUCCCCCUUGUGCUUCCGGAAGGGGAAGGGAACAGGAACAAGUCUGAAAUACCCCAGAGCGUGGUCGUGUUCUUCUGCAGGAGGCCUGCCCUCAGGGGAAGCGAGUUAGCCAGGGCCCAAUGUGCUGGCCUUUAUCAGCGCUGUUGUAGGGGAAGGAAGACACCAACUCCAGCCCCUUCUAGCCGUCCUGGGCCAGCCACGGGGAGGGGCUGUAGUGAAGUUCACAGGGAGACACAGGCUCAGACGGGGCUGAGACCUGACCCCAGGAGUCAAGGACACUCCCCCCACCUCCCUCCAUAUCACUAAAGGCCUAAUUAUAGCAGUUCCUUCUACUUGUCACAUUAUGUCAGUAAAAAAAAUAAUAAUAAAAUAAAUAAAGUACAAGGCAUAUAUAAAAAGGAAACAGAAACAAAAAAAAGUUUAGAGAAACAGAUCAAGCCUCAGAACCACACUCAGGCCUGGCAGGGCUGUCGGGAUGAUCAGAGCAGGAAUUUAAAACUGUAAUUAAGAUGCUAAGAGCUCUAAUGAAUAAAGUAGACAGCGUGUGGGAACAGGUGGGCAGUGGGAGCAGAGAGAUGGGUCUUCUAAAGAACCAGGAAGAAAUGCUCGUGAUAAAACCAUGUCACAGGAAGGAAGAAUGCUUCUGACUGGCUGGCUUACUAGUAGACUGGAGAGGACAGGAUUUCUGAGUUUGAUGGUAUUUUCCACAGAAACCAUGAAAACUGAAAAGCAAGGAGAAAAAAGACUUGGGGGGGGUGGAGAAGCAGAACAGAAUAUCCAAGGACUGUGGAACAAUUAAAAAAGGUGUAACACACAGAGUGGGACCAUCAGAGGAGAAGAAAGAAAGGCACAGAGGGGACUUUGAAGCAAUAAUGACUCCGAAUGUCCCCGGCUGAUGCCAGACACCAAACCACAGAUCCAGAAAGCUCAGGUGGAGGAGGCAGAAAGGAACGUCCCCGCCCCCAACCCGCCCCCAAAACUACCUCU
Mustela lutreola (European mink) is the source of this 13720-nucleotide long non-coding RNA. RefSeq lists it as uncharacterized. The record is from RefSeq and is a predicted model, not a curated record. The transcript has 3 exons. Lineage: Eukaryota; Metazoa; Chordata; Mammalia; Carnivora; Mustelidae.